This is a non-coding RNA of Ornithorhynchus anatinus (platypus), 102 nucleotides long. RefSeq annotates it as microRNA mir-1421ab-2. The record is from RefSeq and is marked provisional. The transcript has a single exon. NCBI's taxonomy places the organism in Eukaryota, Metazoa, Chordata, Mammalia, Monotremata, Ornithorhynchidae.
GGUGACGUACGGCACGGUGUGAGGAGCUCACACGUCUUGCAGAGUGAUGUCGGAAAGCGAUGCAAUGCGUCUGAGCUCCGUACACAGUGCUGGGUCUUUCCG